GUCCAAAUGACGAGUCCCAAAUGGAACAAAACGCGCGUUCUAGAU
This 45-nucleotide non-coding RNA is filed under the name Schistosoma margrebowiei. The record is from RNAcentral. Lineage: Eukaryota; Metazoa; Platyhelminthes; Trematoda; Strigeidida; Schistosomatidae.